RNAcentral lists this ribosomal RNA (443 nucleotides) under uncultured soil bacterium. RNAcentral describes it as "bacterial SSU rRNA". It matches the Rfam family "Bacterial small subunit ribosomal RNA", at positions 26 to 518 of the family's 1533-position model. The record is from RNAcentral.
AGAACGAACGCUGGCGGCAUGCCUAACACAUGCAAGUCGAACGAGACCUUCGGGUCUAGUGGCGCACGGGUGCGUAACGCGUGGGAAUCUGCCCUUGGGUUCGGAAUAACAGUUGGAAACGACUGCUAAUACCGGAUGAUGACGUAAGUCCAAAGAUUUAUCGCCCAGGGAUGAGCCCGCGUAGGAUUAGCUAGUUGGUGAGGUAAAGGCUCACCAAGGCGACGAUCCUUAGCUGGUCUGAGAGGAUGAUCAGCCACACUGGGACUGAGACACGGCCCAGACUCCUACGGGAGGCAGCAGUGGGGAAUAUUGGACAAUGGGCGAAAGCCUGAUCCAGCAAUGCCGCGUGAGUGAUGAAGGCCUUCGGUUGUAAAGCUCUUUACCCGGGAUGAUAAUGACAGUACCGGAGAAUAAGCCCCGGAUAACUCCGUGCCAGCAGCCGC